Molecule: ribosomal RNA, 253 nt
Filed under: uncultured bacterium
Lineage: Bacteria
Description: partial 16S ribosomal RNA
Rfam family: Bacterial small subunit ribosomal RNA
Source: RNAcentral
UACAGAGGUCUCAAGCGUUGUUCGGAUUCAUUGGGCGUAAAGGGUGCGUAGGUGGCUUGUUAAGUUGAAGGUGAAAUCUCGGGGCUCAACUCCGAAACUGCCUUCAAUACUGGCGAGCUCGAGGACUGUAGAGGAGAAUGGAAUUCACGGUGUAGCAGUGAAAUGCGUAGAUAUCGUAAGGAAGACCAGUGGCGAAGGCGAAUCUCUGGACAGUUACUGACACUGAGGCACGAAGGCCAGGGGAGCAAACGGG